GCGCACGUGGCGAAAUUGGUAGACGCACUACUUUGAGGUGGUAGCGGGAGCAAUCCUGUGGAAGUUCGAAUCUUCUCGUGCGCACUA
This 87-nucleotide transfer RNA is filed under the name Thermoflexibacter ruber. RNAcentral's name for it is "tRNA_Leu_GAG". It matches the Rfam family "tRNA". Rfam says of the family: Transfer RNA (tRNA) molecules are approximately 80 nucleotides in length. The record is from RNAcentral. Lineage: Bacteria; Pseudomonadati; Bacteroidota; Cytophagia; Cytophagales; Thermoflexibacteraceae.